GGGGAAUCUUAGACAAUGGGGGAAACCCUGAUCUAGCCAUGCCGCGUGGACGAUGAAGGCCUUAGGGUUGUAAAGUCCUUUCAGCUGGGAAGAUAAUGACGGUACCAGCAGAAGAAGCCCCGGCUAACUCCGUGCCAGCAGCCGCGGUAAUACGGAGGGGGCUAGCGUUGUUCGGAAUUACUGGGCGUAAAGCGCACGUAGGCGGACUGGAAAGUUGGGGGUGAAAUCCCAGGGCUCAACCCUGGAACUGCCUUCAAAACUAUCAGUCUGGAGUUCGAGAGAGGUGAGUGGAAUUCCGAGUGUAGAGGUGAAAUUCGUAGAUAUUCGGAGGAACACCAGUGGCGAAGGCGGCUCACUGGCUCGAUACUGACGCUGAGGUGCGAAAGCGUGGGGAGCAAAC
Molecule: ribosomal RNA, 400 nt
Filed under: uncultured bacterium
Lineage: Bacteria
Description: bacterial SSU rRNA
Rfam family: Bacterial small subunit ribosomal RNA
Source: RNAcentral